UACGAAGGGGGCUAGCGUUGCUCGGAAUGACUGGGCGUAAAGGGCGCGUAGGCGGCUUGCACCGUCAGAUGUGAAAUUCCUGGGCUUAACCUGGGGCUGCAUUUGAUACGUGUGGGCUUGAGUGCGGAAGAGGGUCGUGGAAUUCCCAGUGUAGAGGUGAAAUUCGUAGAUAUUGGGAAGAACACCGGUGGCGAAGGCGGCGACCUGGUCCGUGACUGACGCUGAGGCGCGAAAGCGUGGGAGCAAACAGG
RNAcentral lists this ribosomal RNA (251 nucleotides) under uncultured bacterium. RNAcentral describes it as "partial 16S ribosomal RNA". It matches the Rfam family "Bacterial small subunit ribosomal RNA", at positions 524 to 776 of the family's 1533-position model. The record is from RNAcentral.